RNAcentral lists this long non-coding RNA (304 nucleotides) under Homo sapiens (human). RNAcentral's name for it is "HSALNT0097506". Lineage: Eukaryota; Metazoa; Chordata; Mammalia; Primates; Hominidae. The record is from RNAcentral.
GGAUUUUUACAAACUAUCAAGGAAAAUAAAUCCGUAAAUAGCUGGAACACAGUGUGAUCCACGGAGUGACAGCCACAUGAGCAAAGGCUGGCUUAUAGGGUUUCCCUCACAAAUAUUCAGCAAACACUCAAGGGAACCUCGCUGGAGAUCUCUGGAACCCUCCUACUGCUCAGCUCCCACCUUUCAGCUAGAAGCAGAAAUCUGCAUUGGAAGCUUUGGAUCAGAGGAAUGACAUGAUCUGACAUAUAUAUUAACAUGACAGGACUGCUGGGUUAAAAGUUGACUACAGAAGGUAGGAAAUGAU